Molecule: transfer RNA, 85 nt
Filed under: Streptomyces cacaoi
Lineage: Bacteria; Bacillati; Actinomycetota; Actinomycetes; Kitasatosporales; Streptomycetaceae
Description: tRNA-Val
Source: RNAcentral
GCUCACUCUGGCCCACGAGGCCAUGCGUGCGGCUCACCACUGCGAACUCUCCCCGGUGCGUGCGUUCGUUCUCGCGCAGCGAGCC